AAAUAGCCAGGCAUGGUGGCACAUGCCUGUUCUCCUGGCUACUUGGGAGUCUGAGGUGGUAGGAUCGCUUGAGUACAGGAAGUCAAGGCUGCAGUAAGGUAUGCCACUGCAUGUCAGCCUGGGUGACAGAGCAAGACCCUGUCUCAAAAAAAAAAAAAAAAGAUGUUAGCUUUUAAUAUUCAUAUUAAUAUAUAGCUAUUAAUUUUCUAAUUUAUUCAAUAUUUGUAUACCAAAUUUAUAGUGACUCUCUUGCAAAUGUCUUUUCUUUACCUACACAAUUAGUGAUAAGAUUCUCUCUUUAGGCUGAUAAAUAUCAUGUGUUGUAUUAAUGAACUUUCUUAUAAUGAAUGACUUAACAUCUAGGAAUAAAUACUACUUUGCUGUGAUUUAUACUCUGUAAUGUGCUGUUAGAUCCUGUAUACUUACUUUUUUUUAUGAUUUUGACAUUGAUAUUCAUGAGUGAAACUGAGCUUUAGUUUUUAAUGUAACUUUUGUCAGAUUUUGAAAUUGAUGUUAUAUGCACUCAGCUCAAUGUAGUUGAGAUUUUCUUUUCUUAUAAUGCUCUGUAACAGUGUAAGUAGUAAGGUGAUGAUCUGAUUGGUAAAGCUUUAUAAAAUUUUUCUGUGAACCUGAAACUGCUGGGUUUUGUUGUUUUUGUUUGUUUGUUCUUUUAAUGCAGGGGCUAUUUUACUAUUUUCUAUAUUGUUUUUCUAACUUAAUUGCCUUGUCUAGAUUUUCUGCCUCAAAUUGGGAUAAUUUUGUGCUUCCUAAUGAUAAACCUGUCGUGGGUAACUUCAUGCAUACUGGAGAAGUAUCAUCCACAUCAAGCCUAGUCAAAUUCAACUCUACGUAUCUGUUAAGAGGGCAGAGGGGGAUCAGAGAUAGAAAGCGAGAAGAGAGAAAAACAAAGGCAAAAGGAGGUAAUAAAUAA
Molecule: long non-coding RNA, 931 nt
Filed under: Cercocebus atys (sooty mangabey)
Lineage: Eukaryota; Metazoa; Chordata; Mammalia; Primates; Cercopithecidae
Description: lncRNA (ENSCATG00000045603.1)
Source: RNAcentral